UACGGGGGGGGACUAGCGUUACUCGUAAUGACUGGGCGUUAAAGGGUCUGUAGGCAGUCAUUGGUCGUUUCUAGUAAAAGCCCAAGGCCCAACCUUGGGGAGUUAUUAGCUAAACACUUUGACUUUGAGUUAAGGAGAAGAAACUAGUGCUCUCAUAGUAGAAGGUGAAAUUCGUGAAUAAUGAAGGGAACUCUCAUCUUGCGAAGGCGUUGUUUCUAUUUUUUAACUGACGCUGAGGGACGAAAGCGUGGGGAGCAAACGGGU
Molecule: ribosomal RNA, 264 nt
Filed under: uncultured bacterium
Lineage: Bacteria
Description: partial 16S ribosomal RNA
Rfam family: Bacterial small subunit ribosomal RNA
Source: RNAcentral